GCCGACGUAGCUCAGUCGGUAGAGCGCGUCCUUGGUAAGGACGAGGUCACGGGUUCGAGUCCCGUCGUCGGCUCCA
Molecule: transfer RNA, 76 nt
Filed under: Bryobacterales bacterium
Lineage: Bacteria; Pseudomonadati; Acidobacteriota; Terriglobia; Bryobacterales
Description: tRNA-Thr
Rfam family: tRNA
About the family: Transfer RNA (tRNA) molecules are approximately 80 nucleotides in length. Their secondary structure includes four short double-helical elements and three loops (D, anti-codon, and T loops).
Source: RNAcentral